CUAAUAAUGUGAAACUGUAAAAAAAAAAGGCAUUAGAUAGAUAUAUAUGAAAUACAAAAUAGCUAAAUGACAGGAAGUGUGCACUUGUUUAGUUGGUUCGCAAGCACUUCAGUGAAAGCACAGAAGAAAGAGGGAAAUCAUUUAUACAGCGAUUAUGAGGGAAAGGAAAAGCAACUAUGGCCUCUGGUUUGUAAAUCAGUUCACUCUUUCAACAUCCCUGGACUCUUUGAUGUUCCUAGCGAAUUCACAUCGAGUGAGGUCAAGAACUAGCUAGUCAUCAUUACAAAUCUGUAUCCAGACAGGUGAGUAGUGGAGAUCAGGGGAUGAAACAUCUGCAGAUCUGAACCUCUCAGGAACAUCAUGGACAGAAGACAGAACUAAUUUAAAGAUUAGAUUUUUAUUACACAGGUGUUGUAGCAUUGCAUCAGUGUCUCAUCAGUGGAUAUUCUGCAGUGAAUGGGUGCCGUCAGAAUGAGAGUCCAAACAGCUGAUAAUAACAUCACAAUAAUCCACAACACUCCAGUCCAUCAGUUAACAACUGGAGAAGACAAAAGAUGAAACAAAUCCAUCAAGACGUCCUGGAUUUCAAGAUCAGUCUUGGUUUCACGUGUUUACUUGUGCAGGCCUUUUUUUUAUUGUUUGCAUUUAGCUUAAAACCUAAUGGCAUUCUUGACUUUUUGCAGUGUUUUCAUGAAUGAAAUCUCAAGAGGAUCACUCUGUUUUUAUUCUCUUUAUUAACAGCAGAGGUCAGUGGCAGUCAGAUCAGCAGCUCAGAUUUCUAUUUCAGUUCACACCUAAAGAGAAAUCUAUUAAUAAGGUAUGAUAUUUAUUCCACAGACUCCAAUGUUCAUUCAUUUUUGACGCUCAGACAUUCAUCGAAUCUCAAAGGAUGUGCAAGCUGUGGAGAUGUUUUCUCCUGGAUCGUGUUUCACAAUAUAUAUCUUGUGCAUAAGGCGAUAUUUCUGUGAUUUCCCAGCUGUUUUAAUGAUCUAGAUUAAAAAAAGAUCUCAGUAUUUUCACUAUUUAGAUCUAUGCUAUCGCUUUUAGCCGAACAGGAAGUGAAAUCAAGGAUUUUGGUAAGAAGUUUUUGGGGUUUAACAGUGAAACAUGCAGUGUUUAGUGUGUAACUACCAUUUAUCAUGGUUUUCCAGAACAGACACCUAAGUGCGCUAUACGUCUAUUCCAAGCUAACUUUUUUUGCUUUUCAAUUUGGAGAAAUGUUAAUUUUUUUUUACUGUUUUCCAAAGAAGUCUGUUCUGCUAAGGCUGUAAUUAUUUGAGCACAAAUACAGUAAUACUGUGCAAUGUUAUUACAAUUGAAAAUAGCUGUUUUCUAUGUGAAUAUAUGUUAGAAUACAUCACAUGAUCUUCAGAAAUCAUUCUAAUAUGAUGAGUUACUGCUCAAGAAUCAUUUCUGAUUAUUAUUAGUGUUGGGCUGCUUCAUAUUUAUGUGGAAGUUGAGUUUUUUUUUCAGGAUUAUUUGAAGAACAGAAACUCCAAACAACAGCAUUUAUUAGAAAUAGAAAUCUUUAAAUGAGGAAGAUCACAUUAACAUUUUAUAACCAGUAUAAACAUGAAUAAUGUGUAAAAAUAGAGAGAAAAUCCACACAUACCAAUGUUUCCUUCGAUCGAGACUCUCUUUAUUGCAUUGCUUUUACUCAUAUUCAUCCCCAUGUAUCCUUAAAAAAAUUAUAUUUACAUUAUUUAUCUAUAUCUAUACUAUUU
Long non-coding RNA from Carassius gibelio (silver crucian carp), 1724 nucleotides. RefSeq lists it as uncharacterized. The transcript is spliced from 3 exons. Lineage: Eukaryota; Metazoa; Chordata; Actinopteri; Cypriniformes; Cyprinidae. The record is from RefSeq and is a predicted model, not a curated record.